CCUACGGGGGACAGCAGUGAGGAAUAUUGGUCAAUGGGCGCGAGCCUGAACCAACCAAGUCGCGUGAGGGAUGACGGUCCUACGGAUUGUAAACCUCUUUUGCCGGGGAGCAAGCGUGCGUUCGUGAACGCACGUCGAGAGUACCCGGAGAAAAAGCAUCGGCUAACUCCGUGCCAGCAGCCGCGGUAAUACGGAGGAUGCGAGCGUUAUCCGGAUUUAUUGGGUUUAAAGGGUGCGUAGGCGGGAUGCCAAGUCAGCGGUAAAAAUGCGGUGCUCAACGCCGUCGAGCCGUUGAAACUGGCGUUCUUGAGUGGGCGAGAAGUAUGCGGAAUGCGUGGUGUAGCGGUGAAAUGCAUAGAUAUCACGCAGAACCCCGAUUGCGAAGGCAGCCUUCCGGCGCCCUACUGACGCUGAGGCACGAAAGUGCGGGGAUCGAACAGGAUUAGAUACCCUUGUAGUC
RNAcentral lists this ribosomal RNA (460 nucleotides) under uncultured bacterium. Its description in RNAcentral is "partial 16S ribosomal RNA". It matches the Rfam family "Bacterial small subunit ribosomal RNA", at positions 338 to 795 of the family's 1533-position model. The record is from RNAcentral.